UACGUAGGCUUUUUGGCAAGUUACAUUUCAAAGAUCGGGGCUUAACCCCGUCCAGGGAUGUAAUACUGCCAGAAUUGGAACAUCUAGGGGCUACCGGAACUAUCGGUGUAGGGGUGAAAUCCGUUGAUAUCGAUAGGAACUCCAAGGGCGAAGGCAGGUAGCUGGGGAUUGUUCGACGCUGAGGUACGAAAGCUAGGGUAGCGAAAG
RNAcentral lists this ribosomal RNA (207 nucleotides) under uncultured bacterium. Its description in RNAcentral is "partial 16S ribosomal RNA". It matches the Rfam family "Bacterial small subunit ribosomal RNA", at positions 568 to 774 of the family's 1533-position model. The record is from RNAcentral.